This 433-nucleotide ribosomal RNA is filed under the name uncultured bacterium. RNAcentral describes it as "partial 16S ribosomal RNA". It matches the Rfam family "Bacterial small subunit ribosomal RNA", at positions 29 to 507 of the family's 1533-position model. The record is from RNAcentral.
AACGAACGCUGGCGGCAUGCCUAACACAUGCAAGUCGAACGAGACCUUCGGGUCUAGUGGCGCACGGGUGCGUAACGCGUGGGAACCUGCCCUUAGGUUCGGAAUAACUCCCCGAAAGGGGUGCUAAUACCGGAUAAUGUCUUCGGACCAAAGAUUUAUCGCCUUUGGAUGGGCCCGCGUUGGAUUAGCUAGUUGGUAGGGUAAAAGCCUACCAAGGCGACGAUCCAUAGCUGGUCUGAGAGGAUGAUCAGCCACACUGGGACUGAGACACGGCCCAGACUCCUACGGGAGGCAGCAGUGGGGAAUAUUGGACAAGGGGCGAAAGCCUGAUCCAGCAAUGCCGCGUAAGUGAUGAAGGCCUUAGGGUUGUAAAGCUCUUUUACCCGGGAUGAUAAUGACAGUACCGGGAGAAUAAGCUCCGGCUAACUCCGUG